This 497-nucleotide ribosomal RNA is filed under the name uncultured bacterium. RNAcentral's name for it is "partial 16S ribosomal RNA". It matches the Rfam family "Bacterial small subunit ribosomal RNA", at positions 28 to 507 of the family's 1533-position model. The record is from RNAcentral.
GAUGAACGCUGGCGGCGUGCCUAAUACAUGCAAGUCGAGCGAACGGACGAGAAGCUUGCUUCUCUGAUGUUAGCGGCGGACGGGUGAGUAACACGUGGAUAACCUACCUAUAAGACUGGGAUAACUUCGGGAAACCGGAGCCAAUACCGGAUAAUAUUUUGAACCGCAUGGUUCAAAAGUGAAAGACGGUCUUGCUGUCACUUAUAGAUGGAUCCGCGCUGCAUUAGCUAGUUGGUAAGGUAACGGCUUACCAAGGCAACGAUGCAUAGCCGACCUGAGAGGGUGAUCGGCCACACUGGAACUGAGACACGGUCCAGACUCCUACGGGAGGCAGCAGUAGGGAAUCUUCCGCAAUGGGCGAAAGCCUGACGGAGCAACGCCGCGUGAGUGAUGAAGGUCUUCGGAUCGUAAAACUCUGUUAUUAGGGAAGAACAUAUGUGUGAGUAACUGUGCACAUCUUGACGGUACCUAAUCAGAAAGCCACGGCUAACUACGUG